RNAcentral lists this long non-coding RNA (2692 nucleotides) under Ficedula albicollis (Collared flycatcher). RNAcentral's name for it is "lncRNA (ENSFALG00000019033.2)". Lineage: Eukaryota; Metazoa; Chordata; Aves; Passeriformes; Muscicapidae. The record is from RNAcentral.
GUGGGUGCAGGAUGGGAUCAAUCCCUGUGUGAGCAGGAUGGGAUGAAUCCCUGUGUGAGCAGGAUGGGAUCAAUCCCUGUGUGUGCAGGACAGAGUGAAUCCCUGUGGGUGCAGGAUGGGAUCAAUCCCUGUGUGAGCAGGAUGGGAUGAAUCCCUGUGUGAGCAGGAUGGGAUCAAUCCCUGUGUGUGCAGGACAGAGUGAAUCCCUGUGGGUGCAGGAUGGGAUCAAUCCCUGUGUGAGCAGGAUGGGAUGAAUCCCUGUGUGAGCAGGAUGGGAUCAAUCCCUGUGUGUGCAGGACAGAGUGAAUCCCUGUGGGUGCAGGAUGGGAUCAAUCCCUGUGUGAGCAGGAUGGGAUGAAUCCCUGUGUGAGCAGGAUGGGAUCAAUCCCUGUGUGUGCAGGACAGAGUGAAUCCCUGUGGGUGCAGGAUGGGAUCAAUCCCUGUGUGAGCAGGAUGGGAUGAAUCCCUGUGUGAGCAGGAUGGGAUCAAUCCCUGUGUGUGCAGGACAGAGUGAAUCCCUGUGGGUGCAGGAUGGGAUCAAUCCCUGUGUGAGCAGGAUGGGAUGAAUCCCUGUGUGAGCAGGAUGGGAUCAAUCCCUGUGUGUGCAGGACAGAGUGAAUCCCUGUGGGUGCAGGAUGGGAUCAAUCCCUGUGUGAGCAGGAUGGGAUCAAUCCCUGUGUGUGCAGGACAGAGUGAAUCCCUGUGUGUGCAGGAUGGGAUGUGCCUCUCCUGCUCCCACAAAAGCAGAGCAGGGGGACGAGCCAGCCUCUGCCAAGCACCGCAGCACUGUGGAACUGGGAGCAGGGAGCCACAGCUCAGAGAGGAGCCCCAGAAGAGCCCUCUCCUGCCCACAGGCUGCCCUGAAAUCACUCCCUUCCCCUCCUGGUGCUGCCAGCCCCCAGCUCCCAUCCCUGCAGCCAGCACAGCCCCAAGCUGUACUGUGUCAGCCCCAUCCUCCCCCCGGAGCAGCUGCCACAGCCUUAUCAGCCCUGGGCAGGCACAGCCCUGCCCUGUGCUGGGGCUAUCGGGGCUCACACACCCUGCUGGGCUGGGACAAACACUUUUCUGCCCAGUACCAGCAGCUCACAGCCCGGCCAGGGCUUUGCUGUGCCCGCACAGGAACCUCCCACCUGCACCCACAGGGACUCGCUGGCCCUGCACAGCUCCCCCUUCUCAGGCACUCGGCAAUUCCCCACCCAGAUGGAAAAAUAUGUUAAACAAACUGUACCUUGCAAAGGGUCUGCAGCCACAAAGGGAAUUUCUCUGUUUCUUCUGCCUUCUCCUCCUGCCUCCACUGACAGAGGUCAGAGCCCUUCCCAGCUUUGGCCAACAUCACAAAGAACCCAGCAGUUCCCAAAGUGUUUUCAUGGAGACAACCCCAGAGCCACACGGGCAGUGUCACAUCUCGAAGGGUUUUUUUCAGCCUCCUUUGCACAGCUUUGAGUGAAUUCCAAGAAUACCACGGAUUCCAAGAAUUCCAACCUCAGUGUUUGUCCUCAAGGACAAGGCACUGAGCCUGCAGCCUGACCCACCUGAGGACUUCUUGGAUAAAAGCCCCUUGAGCACAGCAGAGAGGCCAAACUGCUCAUUGUGCAAGGGGGGAACUGGACAUAAACCUUGUAUUCAUGACAAAUUCUAUUUUGUAGACCAAGGAAACAGUAGCAGUAAAUAUUAAAAUGCAUAAGUGGUUCCAUUUCAGAAGAGUCAUUUUUAAAAUGCAUAUAGAUGCACUCUGGUGUGGACUUUUAAAAGCAAAAUUCACAUGCUUUGGAGGAGUUAAUUGCUCACAGUAUGUGAGGGCAGGAAGGGAGAACAAAAGCAGAUCUGUAAAGCUGAGAGCAAAAAUUAGCCCUGAAAAUUGUGCCCAGUGGGAAAUGUGCCCCACCAGCCUGAUUUGGGGCCCAGGUACAGGGGAGUCAAUUUGCCAGCACAGAGCAGGAAGUUUCCUACCUGGGAGAGGUAAAGAACGGAAACCUGCCCAAAUCCUGGUUACAGCAACUACAAAUAACAUCCUGACACAGGAAAUUAAACCUCUCACACAAAGCACCCAUUAAAAAAGUGAACCUGAUUGGGGAAAGAAAAAAAAAAAAAAAGAGAGAGAGAGAAACUAUGUAAAUAACCUGGAUUAAAUUCAAGGCAUUUUCUCCUGAACAUCAUGAAAUAUCUCGGAUGCAGCCAGACCUGUCUGCCCUCUCUGGAUGCUCUGGGCAGAGCCCACAGCACACUCCAGACUCGAUUUAGGAGCGUUCAAGAGUGAUGAAGACAAACAUUCCUGGGUACAGGCAGCUUCAGCACAGACCAAACACUGAGCAUCAUGCUAGCAACGGCAUCAGCCAAGAGAUACAAACAUUAGCUUUCCAGAGAAGAAUUUUUAGUGCACUGGUAGUUCCUUGUCAGACAGUAAAUUUUAAAAUAGUCCAUAGUAAAUUGCAGGGAGUAACCCUUUAAAUACACAAAGUUAUCUGCACAUGUUACACUUCAAUCCUGCAGCAGCACCUGGAGACAUUUUAAUAACCUCUCAUGGUUCUCCUUGAACACUUGCAGGGGUUUGGGUGAACACAUUUGGGGUUCCUGCCUCUGCUUCACUGUCAGCUCUGUGCACUCCUUGAUAAUAUGGUUUUCAAAAUGAAAAUGAAAGGAGAAAGCUGAAAGAUUUUAAUCUUCCUGUUGAAAGACCAAAGCAAAAUCCUUC